ACGCCCCGCAAGGGGAGUGGCAGACGGGUGAGUAACGCGUGGGAACAUACCCUUUCCUGCGGAAUAGCUCCGGGAAACUGGAAUUAAUACCGCAUACGCCCUACGGGGGAAAGAUUUAUCGGGGAAGGAUUGGCCCGCGUUGGAUUAGCUAGUUGGUGGGGUAAAGGCCUACCAAGGCGACGAUCCAUAGCUGGUCUGAGAGGAUGAUCAGCCACAUUGGGACUGAGACACGGCCCAAACUCCUACGGGAGGCAGCAGUGGGGAAUAUUGGACAAUGGGCGCAAGCCUGAUCCAGCCAUGCCGCGUGAGUGAUGAAGGCCUUAAGGUUGUAAAGCUCUUUCACCGAUGAAGAUAAUGACGGUAGUCGGAGAAGAAGCCCCGGCUAACUUCGUGCCAGCAGCCGCGGUAAUACGAAGGGGGCUAGCGUUGUUCGGAAUUACUGGGCGUAAAGCGCACGUAGGCGGAUAUUUAAGUCAGGGGUGAAAUCCCGCAGCUCAACUGCGGAACUGCCUUUGAUACUGGGUAUCUUGAGUAUGGAAGAGUAAGUGGAAUUCCGAGUGUAGAGGUGAAAUUCGUAGAUAUUCGGAGGAACACCAGUGGCG
This 602-nucleotide ribosomal RNA is filed under the name Agrobacterium tumefaciens. RNAcentral describes it as "bacterial SSU rRNA". It matches the Rfam family "Bacterial small subunit ribosomal RNA", at positions 66 to 717 of the family's 1533-position model. The record is from RNAcentral. Lineage: Bacteria; Pseudomonadati; Pseudomonadota; Alphaproteobacteria; Hyphomicrobiales; Rhizobiaceae.